AGGACGAACGCUGGCGGCGUGCCUAACACAUGCAAGUCGAGCGGAGAUGAUGUGAGGAAGUUUUCGGAUGGAAUCACAUUAUUUAGCGGCGGACGGGUGAGUAACGCGUGAGCGACCAACCUUGCACAGGGGGAUAACGGACCGAAAGGUUCACUAAUACCGCAUGAGACCACGGUGUUGCGUGACACAGGGGGUCAAAAGGAGCAAUCCGGUGCAAGACGGGCUCGCGUCCGAUUAGGUAGUUGGUGGGGUAAUGGCCCACCAAGCCUAUGAUCGGUAGCCGACCUGAGAGGGUGAUCGGCCACAUUGGAACUGAGAUACGGUCCAAACUCCUACGGGAGGCAGCAGUGGGGAAUAUUGGGCAAUGGGGGGAAACCCUGACCCAGCAACGCCGCGUGAAGGAAGAAGGUUUUCGGAUUGUAAACUUCUGUCCUUGGUGAAGAGAAGAAGACGGUAGCCAAGGAGGAAGCCCCGGCUAACUACGUGCCAGCAGCAGC
Molecule: ribosomal RNA, 497 nt
Filed under: uncultured bacterium
Lineage: Bacteria
Description: bacterial SSU rRNA
Rfam family: Bacterial small subunit ribosomal RNA
Source: RNAcentral